GCUCCCGGCUGUGGCCCUGGCCCACAAUGACGUCAUGUGUCUGACUGGGUUAGCCCUCCAUUGUUGUGAUAAAUUUAACAGAAUUUAUGUUUAGUCAUUCGUGAGUUUUACAGCGAGCAUUUUCGUUUAUUAAUAGCAGUUGGCUCGCAUUGUCAGGCGGUGGACUAGACUCCAUCCUGCAUUCGUCCAGUUUGCCAGCACUUUUCAAAGUCACUUGUCUUUGGCGGAGCGAAGGGAGUGGAGAGGGGAACACAGAGUAAGUUGUUGGCCUGGCUGAACCCGCACUCGGCAAAAACCAAGUCAAGAGGUUAACCCGUUUAGCUCUCAAUCACACACAAUAUCAAUUUGAAUGCACAGAGGCGGGCCAAAGCGAAUCACAUUCGCCAGGGAAACUAUGAAAAUUGAAAAACCCCAUUUUAUCAUGGCGAACACGUACGGAAGAGCACAAAUUCCACAGCAGCUACAGAACUCCGGCACAGAAACAACAAUCAGACGGGAACAAUAUUUACUGCGUGCGCACCAAAGUAUGCAGCAAGAAAAAUCACAAACGCAGGAUGAUAACAGGACGACAAAGGACACCAGGGAGGAGCUGGAGUGGGAGGAGCAGCAGUGGCAGGAGGAGCAGCGGAGGAGGAGCAGCGAGCACGACGACAAUGUUGAAAAUGACAACUUGGCAACAAUUAUAUUCCAGGACGAGUGUGGGCGGCUGUGUGUUGGCCCGCAUAUGAACAAGAAAAUGGAAACAACAAUGUCAACAGUAUCAACAUGGCGUAUGAGCAACGUUCAAUUGCAAACCCAUUCGAUUCGAGUGGCAACAAUGCGAUAAACUGUUCCAGCAGCCAGCAACAACGUUUUGCAUUUGCCCAUUCAUCGGUAGAUUGUGCAGGAAAUUGAGGGCGCGGUGUGCCAGAUGCCAACAACUUAAGUGCUCUGCAUACACAAAUAUGAAUAUAAAAACAGUUUUAAAUAUAAUUUGGGCACAACUCGCCC
This is a long non-coding RNA of Drosophila erecta, 990 nucleotides long. RefSeq lists it as uncharacterized. The transcript has 3 exons. The record is from RefSeq and is a predicted model, not a curated record. Lineage: Eukaryota; Metazoa; Arthropoda; Insecta; Diptera; Drosophilidae.